RNAcentral lists this ribosomal RNA (465 nucleotides) under uncultured bacterium. Its description in RNAcentral is "partial 16S ribosomal RNA". It matches the Rfam family "Bacterial small subunit ribosomal RNA", at positions 28 to 507 of the family's 1533-position model. The record is from RNAcentral.
GACGAACGCUGGCGGCGUGCUUAACGCAUGCAAGUCGAACGGAAAGGCCCUGCUUGCAGGGUACUCGCGUGGCGAACGGGCGAGUAACACGUGGGUGAUCUGCCCUGCACUUCGGCAUAAGCCAGGGCAACUGGGUCUAAUACCGGCCAGGUGCCAUAUUUAGCGUGAUGGUUGGAUAGUUUUUUCGGUGUUGGCUGAGCUCGCGGCCUAUCGGCUUGUUGGUGGGGUGAUGGGCUACCAAGGCGGCGAGGGGUAGCCGGCCUGUGAGGGUGGACGGCGACAUAGGGACUGAGGUGCGGCCCAGGCUCGUACGGGAGGCAGAUGUGGGGAAGCUUGAACAAUGAGCGCAAGCCUGAUGCAGAGACGCCGCGUGGGGGAAGACGGCCUUCGGGUUGUAGACUCAUUGCGCUGGGGACGAAGCUUUUUGUGACGGUACCUAGAGAAGAAGCACCGGCUAACUACGUG